This 541-nucleotide ribosomal RNA is filed under the name Flectonotus pygmaeus (Puerto Cabello treefrog). Its description in RNAcentral is "partial 16S ribosomal RNA". It matches the Rfam family "Bacterial large subunit ribosomal RNA", at positions 1810 to 2598 of the family's 2925-position model. The record is from RNAcentral. Lineage: Eukaryota; Metazoa; Chordata; Amphibia; Anura; Hemiphractidae.
AAAACAUCGCCUUUUGAAAAUUAUAAAAGGUCAAGCCUGCCCAGUGACUUAGUUUAACGGCCGCGGUAUCCUGACCGUGCGAAGGUAGCGUAAUCACUUGUUCUCUAAAUAAGGACUAGUAUGAAUGGCAUCACGAGAAUUACACUGUCUCCUUUCUCUAAUCAGUGAAACUAAUCUCCUCGUGAAGAAGCGAGGAUAAACUUAUAAGACGAGAAGACCCUGUGGAACUUAAAAUUAAUAGAAGCGAACCUAAACACCGCAAUUACUAUGACUUUUGGGCUGGGGCGACCGCGGAGCAUAAUUAAACCUCCACAUUGAACGGACUAAUAACCUAAACAAAAACUACACCUUUAAGUAUCAGCAAACUGACAUCGAUUGACCCGAUAUAUCGAUCAAUGAACCAAGCUACCCCAGGGAUAACAGCGCUAUCCACUUCGAGAGCUCAUAUCGACAAGUGGGCUUACGACCUCGAUGUUGGAUCAGGGAAUCCCGGUGGUGUAGCCGCUACCAAAGGUUCGUUUGUUCAACGAUUAAAACCCUA